UUGAUUCUCACGACGUCUCUCUUCUCUUACCCAUCUCUCUCCUUUUUUUACGCUCAAAAGGAAAAGAGAAAUCCUCCCUUCUCACGGCCACCGCGUGGUGGCUCCGCCGAUGAGAUUUGAUGAUGAGAGAGAGUAGUUAAAAUAGUGGGGAGCGUGACGGGGGCGAGUGGCCGGCGUCGCGGAGCUUCAGUGGCGGUGUGCUCUGGCGGAGGCGGAAAAAACUGAUGGAAACCCUAGGGUUUAAAAAAAAACCCCAAAAUACCUGGGCCAAGGGUUUGUAAAAUUAGACCGGUUUUAAAUCCUAACGAUUGCGAAUGGAAUAAAAUGAGUUUUGAAA
Long non-coding RNA from Hibiscus syriacus, 337 nucleotides. RefSeq lists it as uncharacterized. NCBI's taxonomy places the organism in Eukaryota, Viridiplantae, Streptophyta, Magnoliopsida, Malvales, Malvaceae. The transcript has 2 exons. The record is from RefSeq and is a predicted model, not a curated record.